AGACUUGGCAAAUCCGGUUUUCCAUAACUCUGAGGUGCGAAGUGGUUCUGACCUUUUGGUACAGAGAAGUCAUUGAUGCCCGGCUUCCAGGAAAAGCUGCUAGCCAUAACUUAUAGAGAACCGUACCGCAAACCGACACAGGUGGACAGGUAGAGAAUACUAAGGCGCUUGAGAGAACUCGGGUGAAGGAACUAGGCAAAAUGGUACCGUAACUUCGGGAGAAGGUACGCCCUUUCUGGUGAUGGGAUUUACUUUCAGAGCUGGAGAGGGCCGCAGAGACCAGGUGGCUGCGACUGUUUAUUAAAAACACAGCACUCUGCAAAUUCGUAAGAAGACGUAUAGGGUGUGACGCCUGCCCGGUGCCGGAAGGUUAAUUGAUGGGGUUAUCUUCGGAGAAGCUCUUGAUCGAAGCCCCGGUAAACGGCGGCCGUAACUAUAACGGUCCUAAGGUAGCGAAAUUCCUUGUCGGGUAAGUUCCGACCUGCACGAAUGGCGUAACGAUGGCCACACUGUCUCCACCCGAGACUCAGUGAAAUUGAAAUCGCUGUGAAGAUGCAGUGUACCCGCGGCUAGACGGAAAGACCCCGUGAACCUUUACUAUAGUUUUGCACUGGACUUUGAUGAUGACUGUGUAGGAUAGGUGGGAGGCUGUGAAGUGAGGACGCUAGUUCUCAUGGAGCCGCCCUUGAAAUACCACCCUGUUGUUAUUGAGGUUCUAACUUGGUCCAGUAAUCCUGGAUGAGGACAGUGUAUGAUGGGUAGUUUGACUGGGGCGGUCUCCUCCCAAAGAGUAACGGAGGAGCACAAAGGUACCCUCGGUACGGUCGGACAUCGUACCAAGAGUGUAAAGGCAAAAGGGUGCUUGACUGCGAGAGUGACGGCUCGAGCAGGAACGAAAGUUGGUCUUAGUGAUCCGGUGGUUCUGAAUGGAAGGGCCAUCGCUCAACGGAUAAAAGGUACUCCGGGGAUAACAGGCUGAUACCGCCCAAGAGUUCAUAUCGACGGCGGUGUUUGGCACCUCGAUGUCGGCUCAUCACAUCCUGGGGCUGAAGCAGGUCCCAAGGGUAUGGCUGUUCGCCAUUUAAAGUGGUACGCGAGCUGGGUUUAGAACGUCGUGAGACAGUUCGGUCCCUAUCUGCCGUGGGCGUAGGAAAAUUGAGAGGAGCUGCUCCUAGUACGAGAGGACCGGAGUGGACGAACCUCUGGUGCACCGGUUGUCACGCCAGUGGCAUGGCCGGGUAGCUAAGUUCGGACGGGAUAACCGCUGAAAGCAUCUAAGCGGGAAGCCUCCCUCAAGAUGAGUUUUCCCAUGAAGCCCGUUGAAGACUACGACGUUGAUAGGCAAGGUGUGGAAGCGCAGUAAUGCGUGAAGCUAACUUGUACUAAUUGGCUGAUUGUCUUGACCAUAUAAUCUGAG
This 1417-nucleotide ribosomal RNA is filed under the name Legionella pneumophila. RNAcentral's name for it is "partial 23S ribosomal RNA". It matches the Rfam family "Bacterial large subunit ribosomal RNA", at positions 1529 to 2925 of the family's 2925-position model. Lineage: Bacteria; Pseudomonadati; Pseudomonadota; Gammaproteobacteria; Legionellales; Legionellaceae. The record is from RNAcentral.